GCUUAGUCAUUCAAGAAGUCGAAGUCAAUUGGUUGGCUUCUUAUUGGAGGAUAGGUUACUUGUGGCCUCUCGGUUGCUGCAUUUUCAGUUGGCUUCACUGUUGUUGUUGUUGUAGUAGUUUCAGGUGGCGGUGGUGGCGGCACUGUUUGGCUGUUAUCCUCUGUUGCUACAGCUGUUUCUGUUUUUACAGUUGAAUCCGGAUCGCUUUUGUCUUCCACAGACGUUACCUCCUUUUCUGGCGCAGGAGGCUCAGACACUGUCUCUGUCACUGGCCCGUCUACAUGUGCUGCUGACUCUGCAACAGCUGCAGUUUCCGGUGCAGCUGACUCCGCAACAGCUGCAGUUUCUGGAGCAGCUGACGCAGCAGCAGACACAGUUUCAGGUGCUGCUGACUCAGCAGCUGCAGUUUCCGGGGCUGCUGACUCAGAAUCAGCUGCAGUUUCCGGGGCAGCUGACUCAGAAUCAGCUGCAUUUUCCGGGGCAGCUGACUCAGGAUCAGUUGCAGUUUCAGGCGCUGACUCGGUCUGUGGUGUCUCUUCAGAAGAUGGAGGAGGAGCUUCAAUAGCCAAUGGCUUAGCUGGUUCUUCAAUAGCCAAUGGCUUAGUUGGCUCUGGCUGUGGAGUCUUCAUUGUGGGGAGAGGUUUCUUGGGCGCAGAAAUGGAAGCAAAGAUCGAAGACAUUCCAGGAGGUAGAAUCUCUAUCGGAGGCUUUUUAGAUGCAUCAGACAGACUCGUGAGCUUUGGAUCCUCAAGAGAAGCCAAAAACGCACUUGCCGCAUCGGUUUUAGUAGAUGAAACUUGCUCAACUUCCUUCUGCAGCGUUUUAUUCCAAGCCUGGACCAAGUUCUUUAGACUAGGACGACCAUGUGCCUGUGUGAUAGAUAAUCAGAAACAAUAAAAGGUUCAUAAAAAAAAAGCAAACUCUAAGAUUGGUGAAACUGUAAUCUUACAUGAGCAUGAAGUACAGCUUCUGCGAGCAUUCCUGUGUCUUGCCACGUCUUCUCCAUAAGCGCAUUGUCUCCCAGAACUGCAGCAGAAAAUGCUGACUCUCUCCCUAGGCCUAUGGAGAUCAGAUUGUUUAUCAGACCCUGCAACAAAGUUAAAAUAGCCUUUCAAUUAGAAACCUGAAAGAUACAAAGUAUAAUAUUCCAAAAUUUUAACUUCGAAAACCACCUAUUAUAGGCUGGAUUCGGUUAGAUUAGUUCAACAUAAAUCGUACCGGAAUGAUCCGAAAUAUUGAUCCAGUUAGGUAUUCGAUUAGUUCAGCUUUUGAAAAUCUAGCUGAAUUUUUUUUCCGGUUAAUUUCAGUUAAAUUUGGUUAAUUCGGUUAGUUCGGGUUUUUGUAUGAUUUAAGAUAAAUUCUUUUUAAGAAGAAAACCGAAAUAACCUAUUGCCAAACCUAAAACCGAUUAUUUUUAAAAAACCUACCGAAUCGAACCAAAAUUUCGGUUCGGUUCGGUCUAAAACCCCAUGCCUAACCUAUUAUGUCUACAAUAAUAACCAAAUUAGAGGCGGAAAGAAAGAGAAGUGGCGGACAUACACUUAAGCGUGUCAAUUCUCCAUGGUUAGCUAGGCGUAACGAAAGGCCUCGUAACUCAUGACCCUGUAAAGCGCCUUUGACGGAACCUGCAGUAGCCAGUCUUUUGAGAGCUUCACGAGCAACGUCGGCGUUCCCAGUGGCAUCUGCAGCAUCUAUAAGGUCGAGAAACUCCUUUGCGAAUUUCACUAUUCCCUCCACCGCUUCAACAACGUCUUCUUUCUUCUCAGCUGUCAAAGAGAGAAUGUCACUCAAAUCAAGGCCUAGACCGUCCUGUCCAAUGUCCCUGCUAUUGCUCAUUGUGAGGAGACAAUGAAGAGCCCUCUUCAGAUCAUUGCUCUGCAUCGCUAGAUCAAACUCCAGCCUGAGAACACAUAAAAGACUGAGAAUAGUAGGAGCAGCUUGAAGGAACUUGCUGCACCAAACAUAAUAUGGUUUUUUUACCUCUUUGAUAUUCCAGGCAAAUGAAGAGCUUCUGUAGCAUAUCCCAUUCCUAGCAUGAACUGUGCCAGAUCGUCAUGAUGUUCUCUCCCAAGCCUACUUGCCCUGCGCAACAAACAAAAAAAAGUUGAGGUAGGUUCCAGCUAGAUUUGCGUAAACGGGUUUACUGAGAAAUGUAUCAAUACCAUUUAACAGCACUAAUAGCAUCCCCAUACGCAGCAAGACAUCGACAGCGGAUACCAGGAUGGUUCAGUGAUAUGGCAUGUGCACACAUGUACCUACCAAAAAAGUGGAAGUUGUCUCAGUAGUUCAAUCUUUAUAUGAUCAUUCAAGUGACUGAGAUGACUAUCAUGGCAAGAUAUUGUAACUCUGUGACUAAAUGUAUUUGUUGUAAAGAGUCAGUAUUGCUUUAAGGUAAGAACAUAGACUUGAUACCUGUCAAUGAGCCAAAGAACACCAUCCCGUACGCCAGCAACAACAAGAGGCCCUACUGGUCGUUUUUGCUCCACUGGGAAACGAGUAACAGCAACUGAGACUCCCCCACCACCUACAGCUACCUCACUGGCCCUUCUUUCGUCCAUGUCAUCGCCAUCACCUCUGGAUUGUCUCGGCAGUGAUAAAAAUGGUGGAACAGAUGGAGCAUUUUGGAAAGAAGCUAGACGCACCACCUACAAUAAAAAAAGGAUACGCAUGAGUGCAAAAGACACAAGCUUAGACCUGAAAAAUUGAGCUUCAAAAAUCAAUUAUAUUUAUCUCAUAAAAUAGCAAGAAAUGUCCACCUGCAGCAAGGGGGCCCUCAAAGAUAUCUUUUCUUGCUUGGAACUCUGGGCACCUUCUACUGUGAUUAAGGCUAAUUCUCCAUGCUCCGCAACUGCUCUAGCCUGUGCCUCCUUAAGUUUCAUUUCUUCCUUCAUCUUCCUAGUCUCUAUAUCAAUUUCAGUAACUCCCGCGUCCACAAAAACACAUCUGGAAAUCCAGGCAUGGAAGAAAGUAUUAGCAUUCAAGCCUCAGAGUAACUGAUUCAAAACAGAGAGAAGCCCUUGGAUCAUAUGUAUAACGCCUAAUCUUACUCAAUCGUGGUUUGUGUAGCCACAAACAGCUGCCUGCGGUGCCAAACAGCUCCAGUAGCAUGUGAGAUGGCAACAUUACCAAGAUAUCUAUACUGAGGGCGCAAGGACGAUAUGACCAUGUAUUGUUGAUAAGCAAAAGCACAAUACUCAACUGUUUUGUCCCAUGCCGUCCACUCUGGCUGAGGUAGCAUCCCACCUACUGGCUCAAAAUUUUCCCAACUACACAGUGAAACUUCUAUGAGGACUUAUAUGGAACUGAGAUACUUUAACAUUAAUGCCAUCACCUGAAAGAGGAAACCAAAAUGGAACCACUAAUCACCUGUAGAGCUGGUAGUUUAGCGGUGCGGACUCGGUAGAUCUCUGUGAAGAACCAUCAUCAUAGCUAGAAAACGAAGAAACAUUACUGUUUCCAAAUCCUGAAAGUGGCAUCGACUGAAUGGUUGAAAUAGCUGUUGCAGAAACAGGACUAAUUCUUCGGGACGUGCGAUAGCCUAUUCCAAGUAGAGCGCCGCCAUGCAGACCAAUGACCUGCAAGGAGAAAUUUAAGCAUAAGACUAUUGCUUACUACGCCUAGAAGUCAAGCACUUCAACAGAUCUGCUCAGAGGAUCUGAGACAAGUGAAAAAAUGAUGAAUUAAAUAUGAAAGAUGGCUAUUUUAGGAAACUAAUCCCUAGCUAAGACUAGAACACAUGGAAUGCAAUACCUCCAGUAAAAGACACAUACCGGUUCAGAGCGACCUCCUACAGAUCUCAUGAGGAUGUUUGAGGUUCCAUCAUCUAAGAGAAUACGAACUUGGACACUAGCUGAUGAAGCUGCAUUAGCAGCGGCAGCAGCUUGCGCCGCGGCUGCAGCCGCUUCUUUCGCCUUUCUUGAUGAACCACCCUUUGGGAAAGAGGAGGAGGUUGAGAAGAAUGGGGAAGAGAGACUUAUCGCCAAUCGGACAACUACAAGACAAUUCAACUUAAUCUAUACUUCUGGACGAUUCAGAGGGUUCAGUUUUAUCGUAAUGGGCCAAAUAUGGGCUUUCAAAUGUAUUUUGAUUUCCGAUUCGAACUUGGUUAUUGGGUUACGCUUCACUAUACGUAACUCGAGAGAUUUUUUUUUAAUAUAAAAAAGUUAUAAAAAAAAUUCGAACAGUAAUAUAAAAAAAUAAUAAUACAAACAAUUAAUGAAAAUAAAUCAGAAAACAAAAAAUGACACACUACAAAAAUAAAACUAAUCCCUAGUGCAAUACAAAAAAUGACACAUUACAAAAAAUGAAACUAACCAUUUAAUGUUAUGUGAUGUAAUGCAAUGAAAACAAAUCAGAAAACAAAAGAGGACACAAUAAAAAAUGAAACUGAUGCCAAAUGGAACUAAAAUUAAACAAACAAGCAUCUUCCUCUCCCUGUAGUCAAUGACUCAAUGUGACCACAUAGUUUGAUCAAUGAAUAAUAUAUCUAAAAGAUAUACAGUCUCGUUGUGUUUUAUUUUCGGGAUUAUUCUGUGAGUGUUCAAAAAAAAAAAAAAAAAAAAAAAGGGAUUAUUCUGUGCAAAAACUUGGCUUAGUCAUUCAAGAAGUCGAAGUCAAUUGGUUGGCUUCUUAUUGGAGGAUAGGUUACUUGUGGCCUCUCGGUUGCUGCAUUUUCAGUUGGCUUCACUGUUGUUGUUGUUGUAGUAGUUUCAGGUGGCGGUGGUGGCGGCACUGUUUGGCUGUUAUCCUCUGUUGCUACAGCUGUUUCUGUUUUUACAGUUGAAUCCGGAUCGCUUUUGUCUUCCACAGACGUUACCUCCUUUUCUGGCGCA
RNAcentral lists this long non-coding RNA (4832 nucleotides) under Brassica napus (rape). RNAcentral's name for it is "long non-coding RNA (BNAP_LNC000261)". The record is from RNAcentral. Lineage: Eukaryota; Viridiplantae; Streptophyta; Magnoliopsida; Brassicales; Brassicaceae.